CACAAUCCUCCGUUCUCAAUUAACCAAACAUAUCUCUAAUCAAUCCUUUUUCUUUCCUCUUAUAAUUUUCCUUCAAUUUCCCGAGAAAAUUUCUAAUCCUAAUCUACUUAUUUUCAUUCUACUCCGAUGGCCAUGGCCCAAAACUCCAUCCCUCCAUAUUCAACCGACGACAUUGGCGCAACUACUCCGACGACAUUGGCCCAAAACUCCAUACAACACUUCUCAGCUUUCAUUCCAUCCAUGAUCGUUUAGGCUUUAGAGAAACCUUAACUACAGUCACACGAAGGGCCAGAUUAAGCUGGCUUUUUACCACUACUAGCUCUGUAAUUGGCACACUAACGGAACCGCUCGAAUUGCAAGAUUUUCUUCUUGUUAUUUCCUUUAGAGAGUUCGAUCGCAUCAAUGUUCGAGAUUGAGACCGAAUGGCCAGUCAGAGAAGUGAUGAGGUUGGGGACUCGUUUGAGAUUCGUGCCACGUCGUAUUGUACUUGGUAAUGACCUUGAUAGGUUUCGUUUCCAGUUGAGAGUUGGAGUCCGCUUGCCGCGAAUUGGACUUAUGGGGGAAUAAAAGUAGAAAUUUGAUAAGCAGUUCUUAAUGCUACCCCACUUCAUUGCCAGGGUGCAACAUAGGUGUUAGGCUGAGAGACUGAAAUCAUUUGAUACGUCUAUUUUGGCUUCAAAAUGAAGAGUUUCAUGCCUAUACCUGACGGUGUUGAACUGCAUCCACUAGUAUUUGAUGUUUCCUGCAAUGGUCUUGCUGCCAUGGUAUGCUUGUUAAUUAUUUGAUAUCCUUAUUUGUUGGAUUUUAGUAAUUUGGAUAACUAAUAGGAGUAAAUCAUGGGUGUCAUUGUGUAUAUGCAAGUGGGCUGUUACAGCUUGAAAAGUGCAGGAUGUUAAUUGAAAUUCUAUGCUUAUCAACAAUAAAGAGAAUUGAUUUAUAGCUUACAUUCUUAA
This is a long non-coding RNA of Mangifera indica (mango), 953 nucleotides long. RefSeq lists it as uncharacterized. Lineage: Eukaryota; Viridiplantae; Streptophyta; Magnoliopsida; Sapindales; Anacardiaceae. The transcript is spliced from 3 exons. The record is from RefSeq and is a predicted model, not a curated record.